AAUAUCUAGCGCCUGGACAUUUUUAUGUUGACGAGGUUCAAGGUUAUCGAAAUAUUCGGCGGAUGCCUUGAUGGCUUUAGCUUAUGGUCAUUAAUAUUGAUAAAAAAAGUAAUAGUGAUGUUACAACAAAAUUCAAUAU
RNAcentral lists this non-coding RNA (139 nucleotides) under human gut metagenome. RNAcentral describes it as "glmS glucosamine-6-phosphate activated ribozyme". It matches the Rfam family "glmS glucosamine-6-phosphate activated ribozyme aptamer". Rfam says of the family: This entry contains a glucosamine-6-phosphate activated ribozyme that is found in the mRNA for GlmS. GlmS is an enzyme that uses fructose-6-phosphate and glutamine to generate glucosamine-6-phosphate. The record is from RNAcentral.